RNAcentral lists this ribosomal RNA (400 nucleotides) under uncultured bacterium. RNAcentral's name for it is "bacterial SSU rRNA". It matches the Rfam family "Bacterial small subunit ribosomal RNA", at positions 341 to 755 of the family's 1533-position model. The record is from RNAcentral.
ACGGGAGGCAGCAGUAGGGAAUUUUCCGCAAUGGGCGAAAGCCUGACGGAGCAAUACCGCGUGAGGGAAGACGGCCUAUGGGUUGUAAACCUCUUUUUUCAGGGAGGAAUAAAUGACGUGUACCUGAAGAAUAAGCAUCGGCUAACUCCGUGCCAGCAGCCGCGGUAAGACGGAGGAUGCAAGUGUUAUCCGGAAUCACUGGGCGUAAAGCGUCUGUAGGUGGUUGGACAAGUCAACUGUUAAAUCUUGGAGCUCAACUUCAAAAUCGCAGUCGAAACUGUUUGACUAGAGUAUAGUAGGGGUAAAGGGAAUUUCCAGUGGAGCGGUGAAAUGCGUAGAUAUUGGAAAGAACACCGAUGGCGAAGGCACUUUACUGGGCUAUUACUGACACUCAGAGACG